This is an RNA transcript of Medicago truncatula (barrel medic), 1736 nucleotides long. It is a transcript of the gene named pyruvate, phosphate dikinase regulatory protein 1, chloroplastic, with no coding region annotated. Lineage: Eukaryota; Viridiplantae; Streptophyta; Magnoliopsida; Fabales; Fabaceae. The record is from RefSeq and is a predicted model, not a curated record. The transcript has 4 exons.
AUAAAAUUGAAUGAUUUUCUUUUUUAAGUAGAAAUAACUUUAAAACGAAGGAAGUGUUAAAGAAAUCGAUAAUCUGAAAGUACAGUUGCUGCUAGCUAUGCCAAUUUCACGAUUAUGUCCAAACAUACAUCCAUUUCUACAAAUCAAAGCAUGCAACGGAAACAACAACGACAAUGGAUCGAAGUCAGUUACAGGAAAACCCAAGGUCAGUCCCCAGCUGAACCGGUGGUCCAGGGCUCGUGCAAUACGUUCCGGUCGAAAAUUGGACCGGUCUAGUCCACGAACUCAAACCAUAGAACCCAACAACUCUCAACCUACAGUCCUCUUCGCGGUCGACCCGGAUGACACUGUCAGUGAAGACGGGUCAGAGUUUAGGGCUAAGUCCAUAUAUAUUGUCUCUGAUGGAACCGGUUGGACCGCUGAACACUGUGUUAAUGCUGCUUUGGGUCAGUUUGAUUAUUGCUUGGUUGAUCGUGGUUGCCCUGUUAGUACUCAUAUGUUUUCUGGGAUUGAUGAUGUAGAGAGGUUAUUGGAGAUAAUAAAGCAAGCAGUGAAGGAAGAUGCACUGGUUGUGUAUACUUUAGCUGAUUCUUCAUUUUCUUCAGCAGCUGAGAAGGCCUGCAAAUUAUGGGGUGUGCCUUCUACCAAUGUACUAGGACCCAUUACAGAGGCCAUUGCUUCUCAUCUGGGUGUGUCUCCUUCUGGCCUUCCUCGUGGUGCUUCUGGCGUUCCUCUCUCCGAUGAUUACUUUCGUAGGAUUGAAGCUAUUGAAUUCACUAUCAAGCAAGAUGACGGGGCAUCUCCACAGAAUCUUGCCAAGGCUGAUAUUGUUCUUACCGGGGUUUCCCGAACCGGGAAGACACCUUUGUCUAUUUAUCUUGCUCAGAAAGGGUAUAAGGUCGCCAACGUACCGAUUGUGAUGGGCGUGGAAAUGCCUAGGACUCUCUUUCAGGUUGAUCCAAAGAAGGUUUUUGGCUUGACUAUAAACCAUGGUGUUUUACAGGACAUUAGAAAAACAAGGGCUAAAACUUUGGGUUUUAGUUCAGAAUCACGGACUAAUUAUUCGGAGAUGGAUUAUAUUCGAGAGGAACUUGAAUUUGCAGGAAGGCUCUUUGCUCAGAACCCUGUCUGGCCCGUUAUUGAUGUGACUGCUAAAGCGAUAGAAGAAACUGCAGCAGUUGUAUUGAGGCUGUUCCAUGACCGCAAGCAUAAGUACACAAUGUCUAGCAUCUCAAAACGCUAUUAGGGAUGUCGAUUUUCUCUCGUUGAACUCCAUAUUGUAAAGCAUCAAAGUUGUAUACUAUUGCAAUGCAGAAUUUGUUGACUACUCGUAAAUCGUUAUCAUACACAGUCGUAUAUUUUAGCCAACAGUAACUUACUAGACUCAGCUGUGGAAAAGCUGAUUUUCUCGGAUGGACUUGCCUAUAAUUGUAAAACUUCCAUCAUUAAAGUUGGUGGGUGCUGGUGACUUCUCUUGUGAAAAAUACAGAGGAAUACAAUGAAUAAGUAGAAAUGCAGUUUUCUUUCCUUCAACGGAAAGGAAGCUCUGUUCCUGCCAAAUUGGUGUAGUAUUUCUCCAUAGUUUGGUUUUCAAAGUCAAAUAUAGAAAACUGGGGGCUAGGAAGCCUUUUUUUAUUGCUUGCAUAAUUGGCUCUAAUAGUCUUAUGGUUCCUGUAAUAUUUAAUUCUUAUGCCGGCAUUAUUAUUGAUAUAUUAGAUGUCUAUUUUCUUGCCAAA